RNAcentral lists this ribosomal RNA (489 nucleotides) under uncultured bacterium. RNAcentral describes it as "partial 16S ribosomal RNA". It matches the Rfam family "Bacterial small subunit ribosomal RNA", at positions 30 to 506 of the family's 1533-position model. The record is from RNAcentral.
AUUGAACGCUGGCGGCAGGCCUAACACAUGCGAGUCGAACGGUAACAGGAAGCAGCUUGCUGCUUUGCUGACGAGUGGCGGACGGGUGAGUAAUGUCUGGGAAACUGCCCGAUGGAGGGGGAUAACUACUGGAAACGGUAGCUAAUACCGCAUAACGUCGCAAGACCAAAGAGGGGGACCUUAGGGCCUCUUGCCAUCGGAUGUGCCCAGAUGGGAUUAGCUAGUAGGUGGGGUAACGGCUCACCUAGGCGACGAUCCCUAGCUGGUCUGAGAGGAUGACCAGCCACACUGGAACUGAGACACGGUCCAGACUCCUACGGGAGGCAGCAGUGGGGAAUAUUGCACAAUGGGCGCAAGCCUGAUGCAGCCAUGCCGCGUGUAUGAAGAAGGCCUUCGGGUUGUAAAGUACUUUCAGCGGGGAGGAAGGGAGUAAAGUUAAUACCUUUGCUCAUUGACGUUACCCGCAGAAGAAGCACCGGCUAACUCCGU